Molecule: long non-coding RNA, 2828 nt
Filed under: Paramuricea clavata
Lineage: Eukaryota; Metazoa; Cnidaria; Anthozoa; Malacalcyonacea; Plexauridae
Source: RNAcentral
CAAGUAAUUAUUGCUCCACAGAGGUUCUAUUUCAUCAUAAAUUCUACAAUAAUUUAACUUUUUUGUAUAGGAUUUUAAAUGGUCAUGAAAAUUUAAUUGAACAUGUGAUAUUAUUGAAAUUGAUGCAAAACAUUCGUGACAUGGUACGCAAUACUGGUAUUGGAAAAUUCCAUUUAUUUAAUUUGUACAUUAAUAUGGAGGAUAGCUAUUUGAUACAAUCAGAAUAUGUCAUAGAUGGAUUUCAGAUUUUGCUCUAGGGGUUGCCGAAAAUUCGAGGGGGUGCAAAGUAUUUUAUGGGGUGCGCACCGCCCUGCGCCAUAUUUAUUUUUAUUAUUAUUUAUACCAGAUUUAUUUCGAGUGUUGAACAUGAUAUCUCUCCAAGCACCCAUGUAUUUUUCUGUUUAUUAUAUAAAGAACAGUCUUUGAAAAGCGAUAAUUUUAGAGAAAAGCGAUAAUUGAAAAGCGAUUUAUUAUAUAAAGUAUAGUGCUUUAUAGAGACUUCGAGCACUGAUAAAAGUGAUAAUCUCACAUGUGAGAUUAUUCAUGAUGAUCUCGCAUGUGAAAAUUAUCGCUUUUUAAUUAUCGCUUUUCUCUAAAAUUAUCGCUUUUCAAAGACUGUUCUUUAUAUAAUAAACAGAAAAAUACAUGGGUGCUUGGAGAGAUAUCAUGUUCAACACUCGAAAUAAAUGUGGUAUUUCCGCGCACCCAUGUAUUAUUCUCUAUUUAUUCAAGGGGAAAAUUUGCAAAUCUGUUACAUUUUUAGAUUCAUUAAAUAUUUAUAUUGUGGGCAUUAUUAUGAUUGUACAUAAUGUAAGAUACCAAAUAAAAUAGAAAUGUAUGUAGGAUAAAACACACCAAGUGAAGUGGAAACAAAAUUACUAUGAACUUAAGCAGCGGUCAGAAAAAGGAUGAGAGUGCAACUCUCGCGUACGUUUUGACCACCAGUAUGGAUUACAGUCGGAUCUCUAUUAACGGAUACCUCUCUUAAGGUGGAGUAAUUAGCCAUUCCGAAGUUGCUUAGAGGGCUGGGGACGAGUGUUAAUAAGUGCCCGAAUUAAGAAAUGAACCAAAUGACUAAAAAGACCACCUCAAAAUUAGUAAGUAUACAAAGUUUGAAGACGUUUACAUGAAUACCCUUCGAAUAAUAAGCUUUCGAAAAUUGUGAAAUUACUGAUUAAGACUAUGUGCACACGGGCGUCGUUUUGCAGCGUUUUCAAAAACGUUUUUGUCCGUAAAAUCGUUUUGACGCCGUAUUCGCACAGCCCAAAGGAAAAUAUCUCGGAUAUAUUAAAUAAACUACAACUUCUGUCGUAAAUUGAUAGUGUUUGUAUCCGUUUUAGCGUGAAAACACAAAUGAAAACGCUCGAAAACGUCACCGUGUGCACAUAGUCUAAAAGAUUGCUUUUGGGACGCGCGUCCCCAAAACAAAAAUUACAAUACAUUUCAUAGUAAAUAUCCGGCAGUAAAUAUCACGAUUUUCGAAAGCUUAUUAUUCGAAGGAUAUUCAUGUAAACGUCUUCAAACUUUGUAUACUCACUAACUUUGAGGUGGUCUUUUUAGUGAUUUGGUUCAUUUCUUAAUUUGGGCACUUUUUAACACUCGUCCCCAGUCCACUCAUCAACUUCGGAAUGGCUAAUACGGGCAACAAAAUUGCUGCAACUUGCAACAAAAUCAGAUUUCUGCUCAUGUUACAGUUGAUUUCACAUAACUUUUCCGUGAAUGUUGCGAACUUCGUUCCGAACUUCGUUGUUCAAAACUUCAUACUGAAAUUCACAAGCCAGUUUGUAAACAAAGCCUCUAAUUGGCUUAUUUUUGUUAAGGGACCAAACAGAGGCUUUGUUUACAAACCGAUUUUCGGACCGAAGUUCAGUGUGAACUUUUGAACUUCACAACGAAGUUCGGAACGAAGUUCGCAACGUUCACGGAAAGGUUAUGUGAAAUCAACUGUAAUUGUUUAUGUUUACACAUAAAUUACAAAUCACGAGGCAACAUGUCAAUGUUGAAAUCAGAUUUUGUUGCAAGCUGCAGCGAUUUUGUUGCUCGUAUUAAUACUCGAGCUUCAAGGCCCGUUUACACUUGCAGUUUUCGCUGAGAUUUCUAAUGCGACUUUCCCCUUCUGAUGCAUGUGAACGAGUAGAUGAGUUAUGAAUGUUCAGAGUACAUUAACCAUAGAUAUAGGAGAUCUAGAUUGCUAACGCAUACCUAGCGCAGGCGGGGCCUACAUGAUAAAUCCAAGAUGGCGGUACAACAGGGCAAAACGACUAUAAACUCUAUUACGAAAAUCAGAAUUUUGCAUUUUUUGCCGUCGCAUUGUUUUGAAACUUAUUCGGUCAAAUUUUAUGGUAAAGAGAAACUUACCGCGAAGAUUUUGAGCAUAUAUAUGAUUGAAUUGGAUGAAAAAUCGCAAAAUUAUCCAGCGAUAAAAGUUCGUGUAUAGUACUGAUAUAGUACUAUAUAUGUAAAUUGUACAGUUUUGCUUUAAUUUUUGCUCACUAUUUGCAUAAAAAGCAAAUUAUAACAGACCUUAGAUGAUAGACCCUCAUCCAGUGCUCUCAUCAGUUUACUUCUCUAACAAGCAAGGAGGGGGGGGGGGUACAUAACAGUUCAUUUUUCAUAAUUAUGAGGACAGAGCAGAUGAUGAUGAGAGAUGCAAGUAUAAAACACCAUUCACAAGGCUAGAUGUUAACAUAGCACAGUAUUUCUGGCAAUAAAACGCUCCAACUGACCAUUUCACACGAACUUUUAUCGCUGGAUAAUUUUGCGAUUUUUCAUCCAAUUCAAUCAUAUAUAUGCUCAAAAUCUUCGCGGUAAGUUUCUCUUUACCAUAA